UAAUACAUGCAAGUCGAACGCUUUGUGGUUCAACUGAUUUGAAGAGCUUGCUCAGAUAUGACGAUGGACAUUGCAAAGAGUGGCGAACGGGUGAGUAACACGUGGGAAACCUACCUCUUAGCAGGGGAUAACAUUUGGAAACAGAUGCUAAUACCGUAUAACAAUGACAACCGCAUGGUUGUUAUUUAAAAGAUGGUUCUGCUAUCACUAAGAGAUGGUCCCGCGGUGCAUUAGCUAGUUGGUAAGGUAAUGGCUUACCAAGGCGAUGAUGCAUAGCCGAGUUGAGAGACUGAUCGGCCACAAUGGGACUGAGACACGGCCCAUACUCCUACGGGAGGCAGCAGUAGGGAAUCUUCCACAAUGGGCGAAAGCCUGAUGGAGCAACGCCGCGUGUGUGAUGAAGGGUUUCGGCUCGUAAAACACUGUUGUAAGAGAAGAAUGACAUUGAGAGUAACUGUUCAAUGUGUGACGGUAUCUUACCAGAAAGGAACGGCUAAAUACGUGCCAGCAGCCGCGGUAAUACGUAUGUUCCAAGCGUUAUCCGGAUUUAUUGGGCGUAAAGCGAGCGCAGACGGUUAUUUAAGUCUGAAGUGAAAGCCCUCAGCUCCACUGAGGAAUUGCUUUGGAAACUGGAUGACUUGAGUGCAGUAGAGGAAAGUGGAACUCCAUGUGUAGCGGUGAAAUGCGUAGAUAUAUGGAAGAACACCAGUGGCGAAGGCGGCUUUCUGGACUGUAACUGACGUUGAGGCUCGAAAGUGUGGGUAGCAAACAGGAUUAGAUACCCUGGUAGUCCACACCGUAAACGAUGAGUGCUAGGUGUUUGAGGGUUUCCGCCCUUAAGUGCCGCAGCUAACGCAUUAAGCACUCCGCCUGGGGAGUACGACCGCAAGGUUGAAACUCAAAGGAAUUGACGGGGACCCGCACAAGCGGUGGAGCAUGUGGUUUAAUUCGAAGCAACGCGAAGAACCUUACCAGGUCUUGACAUCCCUUGACAACUCCAGAGAUGGAGCGUUCCCUUCGGGGACAAGGUGACAGGUGGUGCAUGGUUGUCGUCAGCUCGUGUCGUGAGAUGUUGGGUUAAGUCCCGCAACGAGCGCAACCCUUAUUACUAGUUGCCAGCAUUCAGUUGGGCACUCUAGUGAGACUGCCGGUGACAAACCGGAGGAAGGUGGGGAUGACGUCAAAUCAUCAUGCCCCUUAUGACCUGGGCUACACACGUGCUACAAUGGCGUAUACAACGAGUUGCCAACCCGCGAGGGUGAGCUAAUCUCUUAAAGUACGUCUCAGUUCGGAUUGUAGGCUGCAACUCGCCUACAUGAAGUCGGAAUCGCUAGUAAUCGCGGAUCAGCACGCCGCGGUGAAUACGUUCCCGGGCUUUGUACACACCGCCCGUCACACCAUGAGAGUUUGUAACACCCAAAG
RNAcentral lists this ribosomal RNA (1422 nucleotides) under Weissella sp. TN623. RNAcentral describes it as "bacterial SSU rRNA". It matches the Rfam family "Bacterial small subunit ribosomal RNA", at positions 49 to 1426 of the family's 1533-position model. The record is from RNAcentral. Lineage: Bacteria; Bacillati; Bacillota; Bacilli; Lactobacillales; Lactobacillaceae.